UUUCCGUAGUGAACCUGCGGAAGGAUCAUUA
Molecule: ribosomal RNA, 31 nt
Filed under: Gyrodactylus salaris (gyrodactylosis fluke)
Lineage: Eukaryota; Metazoa; Platyhelminthes; Monogenea; Gyrodactylidea; Gyrodactylidae
Also listed under: 1 other name
Description: partial 18S ribosomal RNA
Source: RNAcentral